Molecule: ribosomal RNA, 427 nt
Filed under: uncultured bacterium
Lineage: Bacteria
Description: partial 16S ribosomal RNA
Rfam family: Bacterial small subunit ribosomal RNA
Source: RNAcentral
UGGGGAAUAUUGGACAAUGGGCGAAAGCCUGAUCCAGCCAUGCCGCGUGUGUGAAGAAGGUCUUCGGAUUGUAAAGCACUUUAAGUUGGGAGGAAGGGCAUUAACCUAAUACGUUAGUGUUUUGACGUUACCGACAGAAUAAGCACCGGCUAACUCUGUGCCAGCAGCCGAGGUAAUACAGAGGGUGCAAGCGUUAAUCGGAAUUACUGGGCGUAAAGCGCGCGUAGGUGGUUUGUUAAGUUGGAUGUGAAAUCCCCGGGCUCAACCUGGGAACUGCAUUCAAAACUGACUGACUAGAGUAUGGUAGAGGGUGGUGGAAUUUCCUGUGUAGCGGUGAAAUGCGUAGAUAUAGGAAGGAACACCAGUGGCGAAGGCGACCACCUGGACUAAUACUGACACUGAGGUGCGAAAGCGUGGGGAGCAAACA